UCUCUUCCGCCUUCCGCCGCCAGGGUGUAAAACAAAUCCCCCUCCUCUCCCCAAGAUUUCCCCUCCACCCGCCGCCCACCGCACGGCCCCUGCUCCUGUACGCCUGGUCACGCUCCGGCUCAAUCCGCCCCAUCGCCCGACCCCUGUUACUCCCCGCCCGGCCAAGCUCCGGCCCGAUCUGCCGCACCGCACGGCCCCUGCUCCCCCCGCCCGGCCAUGCUCUGACCUAAAUCCGCCCCAACAGACUCACUCUUCAUCCCCAACCAUGGCGGCGUGCGUCGAUCCAUGGCUGCGACGGGCGGGGUGUCCAUGGCCACGCCAGCCGGUGUGAUGGAGUUGCACCACAAGCGGCGAGAACACGGCGCUGCCGGUGGACUGUAGUGACCGCCGGAGAACACUGAGGGUGAGUACUCGGGGAUCGAGCACGAGGUCAUCCCGGGUCGUAGAGAGCCUUAAGGUUAUUCAAUUCAGCUGGCAGCCUGGCAUGUCACUUAAAGCAGAAACAGAUGGCAUUCCAUCUCCCAGCCAAACUUAUUGCAGCUUGUAAUCUGAGGAGUUACAUAUGAGAUUUCCUCUGCUACACAAUGCUAGGAUCUGAAACCAGCUAAUGUGAGGGCACAUACAUCGAUGCGAGCUUAGAUUUUAUGGCUCGGUACGAAAACACGGUCUAAUUAGAUUAUUUUGAUAUUUCACUCUUUGAUAAAGUCAACUGUACUCCUAUCGUUCAUACAAAAUACAUGGAUUGGCUAUCAGUUAUGUGCAUAAUAACAAUACAUUGUCUAUUGUUGUUUCAUAUUACUGAUCACUUACGCUUGGCUCUAGACACCUAGAGUCCCACUGUUGCACUUCAUAUUGACAGAUUAAGCCACUAAAAUAAUUUGUGUUUACGGUGAGCAAUACAAGAGUUGAGUUCCUUGAUAUAACAUCACAUUUUUGUUAGAGUUGAGUUAUGUGCAAGAGUAGAAGAUGCUAACCUAUAAUGGAUAGAAUAUUGUAAUGUUUUCCUACGGCCUUUUUUUGCAUUUUCUCAUCAACGUGAUCUAGAUAAAUAUAAAAAGGAAAGCAGUUUAUGUGAGUACAUUAGUUAUGGGUUAUAAAUAUGUCAAACCACCCGUAUAAUCGCAUUGUACUUGUAAUUGUUCGAUUUCUACCAGAUGUUUAUAUACUUCAUUGUACUUUUCUUAUGAUGGACCGUCGCGGCAACACGCGCCUUUAUGGUCUAGGGUAUAGGUAAGAGAGGAGGCUGAUGCAAAUGAGAUAAAACUUUUGCGGCGUUACAUGGAAAGGACAGGAGGCUGCUGCAAGGACCAUAAUGUGACUGUGAUGCUUCUUCCAAGCUUUGACUCCGGAGCCUAGCACCGGUGCUGCAGGGAUGUUCGAUUUCUUUUCAUGGCAUCUAUAACUUCCUCACUCAAUUUGUCACACCUCUCGGGAAGCCAAUCUCUUGGGCAGGGCUUGACACUUGAAGACCAUCUUCUACAGUGUGUGUACAGAUAACAUGUUACAGUUCUUUUGUAGUGGCAGAAACUUCACCUUACCGGCAGUGCUGGUUGUAGCAAAUUAGCAAUAGCUUAUUUUUUGAAUUCUGGCCCUAAACUGACCACGAAUCUUGUUUAUGUGUUCAUUGAUAAUAUGAUGAAUUUUGGCUGCAA
Non-coding RNA from Aegilops tauschii subsp. strangulata, 1652 nucleotides. The record is from RefSeq and is a predicted model, not a curated record. Lineage: Eukaryota; Viridiplantae; Streptophyta; Magnoliopsida; Poales; Poaceae.